UAUGUAGGUUUAGCAAACCAAUAUUUCACUGAAAGAGAGCACAUUUUAAACCCCAGCAAUGAGUUCAGUCCUGGUUACAUAUUGUGUAUUGCUAUGGAUUACAUAUGCAAAAUCACAGACAUUAAGUCUGACACCUUCAAAUAAUGCAGUUAAUCUGGGAGAGAGGGCAACUUUCUCCUGUAAUGUUGGAGCUAAGGAUGGUGACUGGGUACAUCUUUUAAAGCAGAUACCAGGGAAUGCUCCACAGCUGAUUAUAUAUAAUCACCAUUCAUUCACCUCUCCUAGAUAUGGACCAGGGAUAUCUACUGACCGCUAUACUGCCACCAUUAAUGCUGCAGCCACUGAGUAUCAUUUUAUUAUUAAGAAGGUAGAGACAGCAGACACUGCUCAUUAUUACUGUAUGAAAUGGUUUGGCAGCAUAUCAGCAUGCCACUGUGAUAAAGAGUUUGACAAGAACUGGCCACAAAAAACAUGUUAACAGAAUACAGAACUAUUUAAUGUCAGACUGCACAUCGAAACAUAUCUUUUUUUUUACAUAGUGUUUUAGUGGCAGAUAUAUAUAGAUUGAACUAAGGAAUAUAAAAAGAUUCCCAG
Non-coding RNA from Xenopus laevis (African clawed frog), 594 nucleotides. Lineage: Eukaryota; Metazoa; Chordata; Amphibia; Anura; Pipidae. The record is from the annotation of a RefSeq genome assembly.